Molecule: ribosomal RNA, 492 nt
Filed under: uncultured bacterium
Lineage: Bacteria
Description: partial 16S ribosomal RNA
Rfam family: Bacterial small subunit ribosomal RNA
Source: RNAcentral
AGUGAACGCUGGCGGUAGGCCUAACACAUGCAAGUCGAACGGCAGCACAGUAAGAGCUUGCUCUUACGGGUGGCGAGUGGCGGACGGGUGAGGAAUACAUCGGAAUCUACUUUUUCGUGGGGGAUAACGUAGGGAAACUUACACUAAUACCGCAUACGACCUACGGGUGAAAGCAGGGGAUCUUCGGACCUUGCGCGAUUGAAUGAGCCGAUGUCGGAUUAGCUAGUUGGCGGGGUAAAGGCCUACCAAGGCGACGAUCCGUAGCUGAUCUGAGAGGAUGAUCGGCCACACUGGAACUGAGACACGGUCCAGACUCCUACGGGAGGCAGCAGUAGGGAAUAUUGCGCAAUGGGCGCAAGCCUGAUCCAGCAACACCGCGUGGGUGAAGAAGGCCUUCGGAUUGUAAAGCCCUGUUGUUAGGAAAGAACAGCAGCAGGUUUAUGUACCGCUGUUUUGACGGUACCUAAAGAAUAAGCACCGGCUAAUUUCGUG